RNAcentral lists this long non-coding RNA (255 nucleotides) under Nicotiana benthamiana. Its description in RNAcentral is "long non-coding RNA (NBEN_LNC019655)". Lineage: Eukaryota; Viridiplantae; Streptophyta; Magnoliopsida; Solanales; Solanaceae. The record is from RNAcentral.
GUAUAUUUAAAAUUGAAGUAAUCAUUUAAGUAUCUUGUAUAAUACUCUUCCCCUAUAUCUUUUAUUCUACCCCCAUUCCUCUAUUAUUAAUAUUCAGUUAAUUCGAACUUGAGCCCGAAUGUUGAAUCCACUUUUUUUUAUUCUUUCUCUUUCCUCCCUUAUUCUAGAAAGGGAAAAAAAAGAAAAGAGGGGGAGAGGGAUUCAUCACCAAUAUUUGAUUGGAUCUCUAAUCUUCUUCAUUCCUUCCCAUGACAA